This 248-nucleotide unclassified non-coding RNA is filed under the name Hevea brasiliensis (rubber tree). The record is from RNAcentral. Lineage: Eukaryota; Viridiplantae; Streptophyta; Magnoliopsida; Malpighiales; Euphorbiaceae.
GGUGCCAAAAAUUCAAAACCACUAGUCUCACAAUUUUCAGAACCUUUUUCAAUAUAAAAUGGACAGAUACCAAAGACUGUAUCACAAAGCAUGUCAUCACUACAAGAAAUAUCUGCAGUUGUUCCAAGAUCACCCCAGCCGUAAUUUUCUAUAGUUGAAAGUUUAAGUAGUGUGGUGUUGUCUACCUCAAGCUGCUUUACAAGAAAAGACAGGCAUUUCUCCCUUAAUAGGGCAGCAUCCUCUCUGGA